RNAcentral lists this ribosomal RNA (358 nucleotides) under uncultured bacterium. Its description in RNAcentral is "bacterial SSU rRNA". It matches the Rfam family "Bacterial small subunit ribosomal RNA", at positions 71 to 422 of the family's 1533-position model. The record is from RNAcentral.
ACCAUGCCUUCGGGCAUGGGGACAGCGGCGAACGGGUGAGUAACACGUGGGUAAUCUGCCCUUGACAUCGGGAUAGCCCGGGGAAACCCGGAUUAAUACCGAAUAGCCUCCGAAGCCUUCGGGCGUCGGAGAAAAGGUAGCUUCGGCCUCUGGUCAAGGAUGAGCCCGCGGCGGAUUAGCUUGUUGGCGGGGUAACGGCCCACCAAGGCGACGAUCCGUAGCUGGUCUGAGAGGACGAUCAGCCACACUGGGACUGAGACACGGCCCAGACUCCUACGGGAGGCAGCAGUGGGGAAUCUUGCGCAAAUGCGGGAAACCGUGACGCAGCGACGCCGCGUGGGGGAAGAAGGCCUUCGGG